CAGCAGCCGCGGUAAUACGAGGGGGGCAAGCGUUGUUCGGAAUUAUUGGGCAUAAAGGGUGCGUAGGCGGUUUGACAAGUCUUAUGUGAAAUCUCUGGGCUCAACCCAGAGUCUGCAUGGGAAACUGUCGGGCUUGAGUAUGGGAGAGGUGAGUGGAAUUUCCGGUGUAGCGGUGAAAUGCGUAGAUAUCGGAAGGAACACCUGUGGCGAAAGCGGCUCACUGGACCAUAACUGACGCUGAGGCACGAAAGCUAGGGGAGCAAACAGGAUUAGAUACCCCCGUAGUCCCUGUCUCUUAUAC
RNAcentral lists this ribosomal RNA (301 nucleotides) under uncultured bacterium. RNAcentral describes it as "partial 16S ribosomal RNA". It matches the Rfam family "Bacterial small subunit ribosomal RNA", at positions 509 to 807 of the family's 1533-position model. The record is from RNAcentral.